RNAcentral lists this ribosomal RNA (254 nucleotides) under uncultured bacterium. RNAcentral describes it as "partial 16S ribosomal RNA". It matches the Rfam family "Bacterial small subunit ribosomal RNA", at positions 524 to 776 of the family's 1533-position model. The record is from RNAcentral.
UACGUAGGGCGCAAGCGUUGUCCGGAAUUAUUGGGCGUAAAGAGCUCGUAGGCGGUUUGUCGCGUCUGCUGUGAAAACUCGAGGCUCAACCUCGGGCUUGCAGUGGGUACGGGCAGACUAGAGUGCGGUAGGGGUGACUGGAAUUCCUGGUGUAGCGGUGGAAGUGCGCAGAUAUCAGGAGGAACACCGAUGGCGAAGGCAGGUCACUGGGCCGCAACUGACGCUGAGGAGCGAAAGCGUGGGGAGCGAACAGG